Molecule: ribosomal RNA, 282 nt
Filed under: Pseudomonas sp. sanandaj 2
Lineage: Bacteria; Pseudomonadati; Pseudomonadota; Gammaproteobacteria; Pseudomonadales; Pseudomonadaceae
Description: partial 16S ribosomal RNA
Rfam family: Bacterial small subunit ribosomal RNA
Source: RNAcentral
AAAAAGCAGUGGGGGCAGCCUACACAUGCAAGUCGAGCGGUAGCACAGGGAGCUUGCUCCUGGGUGACGAGCGGCGGACGGGUGAGUAAUGUCUGGGAAACUGCCUGAUGGAGGGGGAUAACUACUGGAAACGGUAGCUAAUACCGCAUAACGUCUACGGACCAAAGUGGGGGACCUUCGGGCCUCAUGCCAUCAGAUGUGCCCAGAUGGGAUUAGCUAGUAGGUGGGGUAAUGGCUCACCUAGGCGACGAUCCCUAGCUGGUCUGAUAGGAUGACCAGCCA